GAUGAAGAACGCAGCGAAACGCGAAAGGUAAUGCGAAUUGCAGAAUUCAGUGAAUCAUCGAAUCUUUGAACGCACAUUGCGCCCCUUGGUAUUCCAUGGGGCAUGCCUGUUCGAGCGUCAUUUGUACCUUCAAGCUCUGCUUGGUGUUGGGUGUUUGUCUCGCCUCUGCGUGUAGACUCGCCUCAAAACAAUUGGCAGCCGGCGUAUUGAUUUCGGAGCGCAGUACAUCUCGCGCUUUGCACUCAUAACGACGACGUCCAAAAGUACAUUUUUACACUCUUGACCUCGGAUCAGGUAGGGAUACCCGCUGAACUUAAGCAUAUCAAUAAGCGGAGGA
This 337-nucleotide unclassified non-coding RNA is filed under the name soil metagenome. RNAcentral's name for it is "partial contains 5.8S ribosomal RNA, internal transcribed spacer 2, and large subunit ribosomal RNA". The stretch from base 1 to 120 matches the Rfam family "5.8S ribosomal RNA", at positions 35 to 154 of the family's 154-position model. The record is from RNAcentral.